GCAUCAAUGGGGUAGUGGUAACCUGGGUCGUUGCCAAGUUCGAACUCAAGUUCGACCCGCCGGGGGUUCGAUUCCCUCUUGAUGCA
Molecule: non-coding RNA, 86 nt
Organism: Pterulicium gracile
Lineage: Eukaryota; Fungi; Basidiomycota; Agaricomycetes; Agaricales; Pterulaceae
Source: the annotation of a GenBank genome assembly